AUUGAACGCUGGCGGCAGGCCUAACACAUGCAAGUCGGACGGUAGCACAGAGAGCUUGCUCUCGGGUGACGAGUGGCGGACGGGUGAGUAAUGUCUGGGGAUCUGCCCGAUAGAGGGGGAUAACCACUGGAAACGGUGGCUAAUACCGCAUAAUGUCGCAAGACCAAAGAGGGGGACCUUCGGGCCUCUGGCCAUCAGCUGCGCCCAGAUGGGAUUAGCUAGUAGGUGGGGUAAUGGCUCACCUAGGCGACGAUCCCUAGCUGGUCUGGGAGGAUGACCAGCCACACUGGAACUGAGACACGGUCCAGACUCCUACGGGAGGCAGCAGUGGGGAAUAUUGCACAAUGGGCGCAAGCCUGAUGCAGCCAUGCCGCGUGUAUGAAGAAGGCCUUCGGGUUGUAAAGUACUUUCAGCGAGGAGGAAGGCGAUAAGGUUAAUAACCUUGUCGAUUGACGUUACUCGCAGAAGAAGCACCGGCUAACUCCGUGCCAGCCGCCGCCGUAA
Molecule: ribosomal RNA, 504 nt
Filed under: uncultured bacterium
Lineage: Bacteria
Description: partial 16S ribosomal RNA
Rfam family: Bacterial small subunit ribosomal RNA
Source: RNAcentral